AAAAUUUCGUACUAUGGAUUCUGUAAUUGUUUCACAAUGAUCACGGAUGAAUUUAUUGAUAGAACCAGGAUGAACAUAUUCCAGAUAAAUGUAAAAUCGGUCACCAACUACUUCGCUGCCGUAAUACUGGACAAUAUUUGGGUGCUUGAGAUGACUGAGAACAUUAAUUUCCUGCUCUAAUUGCCUUAUGCUCUCUGCAGAUUUCGG
This 207-nucleotide unclassified non-coding RNA is filed under the name Hevea brasiliensis (rubber tree). Lineage: Eukaryota; Viridiplantae; Streptophyta; Magnoliopsida; Malpighiales; Euphorbiaceae. The record is from RNAcentral.